UUAUCAUUUAGAGGAAGGAGAAGUCGUAACAAGGUUUCCGUAGGUGAACCUGCGGAAGGAUCAUUGUCGAAACCUGCAAAGCAGACCGCGAACACGUGUUUAACAUCACGGGGCCACGGCGCGGGGGCGAGCCCCCCGCCGCGGCACCCAUCCCCGCCGGCGCUCGCGCGAGCGUCGCGUCGUGCGGGCUAACGAACCCCGGGCGCGGAACGCGCCAAGGAAAACUCAACGAAGCGUCCCCCACCCGGUGCCCCGUCCGCGGGGCGCGCGGGGGGAAAGGGACGUCUCUCGAAUGUCAAAACGACUCUCGGCAACGGAUAUCUCGGCUCUCGCAUCGAUGAAGAACGUAGCGAAAUGCGAUACUUGGUGUGAAUUGCAGAAUCCCGUGAACCAUCGAGUCUUUGAACGCAAGUUGCGCCCGAGGCCAUUAGGCCGAGGGCACGUCUGCCUGGGCGUCACGCAUCGCGUCGCCCCCCUCCCGCGCUCGGCGCUGGCCAGGGGGGCGGAGAUUGGCCUCCCGUGCGCGUCCGCGUGCGGCCGGCCUAAAUGCCAUCCCCCGGCGACGCACGUCACGACCAGUGGUGGUUGAACGAUCAACUCUCGUGCUGUCGUGCGACAAAGGCGUUGCCCGUUCGGGAGCCAAAUGCGACCCAACGGCGCUUGCUUGCAAAGCGCCUCCGACCGCGACCCCAGGUCAGGCGGGACUACCCGCUGAGUUUAA
RNAcentral lists this unclassified non-coding RNA (721 nucleotides) under Premna sp. PX058. RNAcentral describes it as "partial contains small subunit ribosomal RNA, internal transcribed spacer 1, 5.8S ribosomal RNA, internal transcribed spacer 2, and large subunit ribosomal RNA". The stretch from base 303 to 458 matches the Rfam family "5.8S ribosomal RNA". The record is from RNAcentral. Lineage: Eukaryota; Viridiplantae; Streptophyta; Magnoliopsida; Lamiales; Lamiaceae.